UACAGAGGGUGCGAGCGUUAAUCGGAGUUACUGGGCGUAAAGGGCGCGUAGGCGGUUGAGUAUGUGUGAUGUGAAAGCCCCGGGCUUAACCUGGGAAGUGCAUCGCAAGCUGCUCGACUUGAGUAGAUGAGAGGGUGGCGGAAUUUCCGGUGUAGCGGUGAAAUGCGUAGAGAUCGGAAGGAACGUCAAUGGCGAAGGCAGCCACCUGGCAUCAUACUGACGCUGAGGCGCGAAAGCGUGGGGAGCGAACAGG
RNAcentral lists this ribosomal RNA (253 nucleotides) under uncultured bacterium. Its description in RNAcentral is "partial 16S ribosomal RNA". It matches the Rfam family "Bacterial small subunit ribosomal RNA", at positions 524 to 776 of the family's 1533-position model. The record is from RNAcentral.